AGCAGCCGCGGUAAUUCCAGCUCCAAUAGCGUAUAUUAAAGUUGUUGCAGUUAAAAAGCUCGUAGUUGAAUUUCGGGAUCAAUAUGUCGGUCGUGCCUUCGGUACGUACUGGUAUCAUUGGUCUCUCCUUUCUGACGAACCAUGAUGUCAUUAAUUUGGUGUUAUGGGGAGUUAGGACUGUUACUUUGAAAAAAUUAGAGUGUUUAAAGCAGGCUUUAGCUUGAAUACAUUAGCAUGGAAUAAUGAAAUAGGACGUUCGAACCUAUUUUGUUGGUUUCUAGGAUCAACGUAAUGAUUAAUAGGGAUAGUUGGGGGCAUUAGUAUUCAAUUGUCAGAGGUGAAAUUCUUGGAUUUAUUGAAGACUAACUACUGCGAAAGCAUUUGCCAAGGAUGUUUUCAUUAAUCAAGAACGAAAGUUAGGGGAUCGAAGACGAUCAGAUACCGUCGUAGUCUUAACCAUAAACUAUGCCGACUAGGGAUCGGAUGAUGUUAAUUUUUAAUGUACUCAUUCGGCGCCUUA
RNAcentral lists this ribosomal RNA (520 nucleotides) under uncultured Glomus. Its description in RNAcentral is "SSU rRNA". It matches the Rfam family "Eukaryotic small subunit ribosomal RNA", at positions 569 to 1090 of the family's 1831-position model. The record is from RNAcentral. Lineage: Eukaryota; Fungi; Glomeromycota; Glomeromycetes; Glomerales; Glomeraceae.